UGUUAAAAUACUGGUUCCUGUAUGAUCACUGAAGUUAAGCAAUGCAGAGCCUAGUCAGUACCUAGAUGAGUGACUGCUUGAGGAUACCAGGUGCUGUAAG
RNAcentral lists this ribosomal RNA (100 nucleotides) under Acanthosepion pharaonis. The record is from RNAcentral. Lineage: Eukaryota; Metazoa; Mollusca; Cephalopoda; Sepiida; Sepiidae.